GUCGCGUGCACUGAGGAAAUGGGCGCGGGGGCGGCGCGGGGGCGGCGCGGACUUCUGUGUGAGUCGGAUUUGCAGUGACUCUGGAGUUUUGUGACGCUGCCUGGGCACCAGGUGCCCUACUGCGCCCUCUGCCCUCCAGCUUCUGGGCCCACAGGAAUGGCUCCGAGUUAGGUAUCUGAACCCCAGAGUGAAGGCCCCCAAACAAAAAGACGCAAUCCUGAGAACUGCUGAACAGCUCCAGAGCACCGCGUUACGGCGUUCCCUCCCUAGGAAGUCGGUGAACAGAUUGCAGUUUAGCUUUGGUGUACUGUGGCCUUUCUCACUGAUCCUGGGAAGGGUCGGCUUUACGUCUUCAUUUCCAGCGGCUUAUGUGUGUGGAAGAUGGUGGGAGUAGCAGUGGCUGCGGAGUUGGGUCCUGAGUCAGGGCUCCGAGGCCGGGCUCCAAGAAAGGCUCGAUGUUUCGAUUCUCAUCUCUUUUCCCCAAUCCUGAUGAUCUUUAGGAAAGCGGAGGGAAUGGAGGAAGUUAUUGUUGUUGCAUAUAUAAAAACGUAACGUCAAUAUUAAUUUGUGUUUCUUCCUUUAUUAAAUGUAAUUUUAAUUUUUUCCAGGCAUGGGAUAUUUUGCUUCCAUCUUCUGGGAAAGAGCAAAAUCCGAACGGACGGGGGCGGGGCGGAGGCGCCGGGAGAGCGGCAGCCUUGUCAUGAUCAGGCUAGGAAAGAAGAGACAGCUAAAGCAAAAUUAAUAGAAAACAUUAUUUCCCCCUAGGUCAUACCACAGUUGUUAAAUACCAUAAA
This 794-nucleotide long non-coding RNA is filed under the name Marmota monax (woodchuck). Lineage: Eukaryota; Metazoa; Chordata; Mammalia; Rodentia; Sciuridae. The record is from RNAcentral.